This 446-nucleotide ribosomal RNA is filed under the name uncultured bacterium. RNAcentral describes it as "partial 16S ribosomal RNA". It matches the Rfam family "Bacterial small subunit ribosomal RNA", at positions 338 to 795 of the family's 1533-position model. The record is from RNAcentral.
CCUACGGGCGGCUGCAGUCGAGAAUCAUUCACAAUGGGGGAAACCCUGAUGGUGCGACGCCGCGUGGGGGAAUGAAGGUCUUCGGAUUGUAAACCCCUGUCAUGUGGGAGCAAAUUAAAAAGAUAGUACCACAAGAGGAAGAGACGGCUAACUCUGUGCCAGCAGCCGCGGUAAUACAGAGGUCUCAAGCGUUGUUCGGAAUCACUGGGCGUAAAGCGGGCGUAGGCUGUUUCGUAAGUCGUGUGUGAAAGGCGCGGGCUCAACCCGCGGACGGCACAUGAUACUGCGAGACUAGAGUAAGGGAGGGGGAACCGGAAUUCUCGGUGUAGCAGUGAAAUGCGUAGAUAUCGAGAGGAACACUCGUGGCGAAGGCGGGUUCCUGGACAUUAACUGACGCUGAGGCACGAAGGCCAGGGGAGCGAAAGGGAUUAGAUACCCGAGUAGUC